GCAUGCAUGCAUGCAUGCGUGCGUGCGUCUUGCGCGCGCAUACAUGCCGGUUUGUAUGGGCCGGCGUGCUUGCGUGUGUCUAGUGCGUACGUGUUUUGUGAGCGUGUUUCUGUGUCGGUCACUGUGUGUGCGUGCACGUGUUAGCGUGUCUGCCUGCAUGUAUGUGUGAUUGUUUGUGUUUAUCAAUGUGCGCGUGCGUGCCUUUGUGUCUGCGCUUUGAGAGUGCGUAUAUUUGUGUGCGCGCGAGUGCGUUUUGUGUGCGUGCGUAUGUAUUGCAUAAGGCCGGUAGAGUUUUACUCGCAAUAAAACUCUUCCAAUUUGGUGCAGCGAGUGUUGCCGCCUGAAAGCCGAGUUUGGUUUCAAGCCAACCUGGACAACUGCUGUAUGAGGCGCUGUUUCUCAGGAGGAUCAGUGGGAAGGCGUCAGGUCAUGCAGAUGAUAGCAUCAAUUUCACAAUGCGCAGCCUUGGUGCCCUCCAUUAAGAGCAAGCCACUUGCGUUCGCCUUCAGGCAGAUGGUUGAUGUCUUCUAGGAAGCAGUUGGGAAGACUACAUUGAUGCAAGAUUCCAGCAAUGCCAUGCGCUGGC
This is a long non-coding RNA of Dermacentor andersoni, 586 nucleotides long. RefSeq lists it as uncharacterized. Lineage: Eukaryota; Metazoa; Arthropoda; Arachnida; Ixodida; Ixodidae. The record is from RefSeq and is a predicted model, not a curated record.